Molecule: long non-coding RNA, 678 nt
Organism: Aethalodelphis obliquidens (Pacific white-sided dolphin)
Lineage: Eukaryota; Metazoa; Chordata; Mammalia; Artiodactyla; Delphinidae
Exons: 3
Source: RefSeq, a predicted model, not a curated record
CACGAGCCUGGGGCCAGGUCCCUACUCCCCCUCCCCCCGAGGAUCCCAGAGCCUGACCCUCUUUGCCAGGUGACUCCAGGGACAGGGAUAUUUCCAGAGCCAGCAGCUCUGUGAAGAGAAGAGAGGGGGUCAGGGCCAAAGGCUGAGGACCACGGAGGACCGAGAGACACUCCCCAAUGCCCAGGCCCUCAUCCCCACCCCAUUCCUUCCCAGCAGAACCUGCCAUCUGAGGAGAAGGUUCCUGAUUAUGUCUUUUCCUUGGAGAGCUCCUCCUGCCUUUGUGCUUACACACUCAGCACGAGCAUUUGAGUUCCUGGUACUCACCACAUCAUCUCACUGCUGUAACUGUGAAAUCUGUGAAACGGGGCUUUCCUGCUAGACAGUGAGCCCCAUGGAGGCAGGGACCGUGUCUGCCUUGCUCAUCUUGUUAUUCUGUUGUGCCUGCCCCUUAGAGGUGCACAAUAAAUACUCCGCAGCCCAGCGGGAGGUCAAUCUCUUGGUUGCUCGUUUGUGCCCGAGAGCAGCUGGGAAUUCCAGAGGCGUGGUGGUUGAGGGUAGGGGAGUGAGGAUGUUAGGGGGAAGAGGAAGGGAGAGCUGCAAGCACAGACCCCUGCUAUGCCUCCUGCAGGCUCUGGCUCCAUUGGCUCCCCAGCCUGCAGAGGACGGGAUCCCCCCCAC